AUACGGAGGGUGCAAGCGUUACUCGGAAUCACUGGGCGUAAAGCGCGCGCAGGCGGCUUGAUAAGUUGGAUGUGAAAGCCUACGGCUCAACCGUAGAACUGCAUCCAAAACUGUCAGGCUAGAGUGUGGGAGAGGAAGAUGGAAUUAGUUGUGUAGGGGUAAAAUCCGUAGAGAUAACUAGGAAUACCAAAAGCGAAGGCAAUCUUCUGGAACGCUACUGACGCUGAGGCGCGAAGGCGUGGGGAGCAAACAGGAUUAGAAACCCCAGUAGUCC
Molecule: ribosomal RNA, 274 nt
Filed under: uncultured bacterium
Lineage: Bacteria
Description: partial 16S ribosomal RNA
Rfam family: Bacterial small subunit ribosomal RNA
Source: RNAcentral